CCCAAGCCAUGUUUGCUGCUCUCGCAAGAGCUGCUGAACCAAUCUGCUUUCUCAGGGUUCCCCUAGCAAAGGAGCUUCCCAAAAUCUCCCUGUACCUCGCAAUCAGUUCUGGCCAGGAUGGCUCUGAAGCAGCUAACCUUGGCGAUUAAGCAAGACAUUCUGAUUAAACCAUCAGAAUAUCGACUGCACCAAAUGCACCAACACAGGCAGUAUUUCAACUGCUGAUCGUUGAGGAAAAGGGAAGAGGAGGAUUGAAGUGGCUGCUCUACAUUGCAUUAAUGUGGAUAAAAUGAAUAAGUCU
Molecule: long non-coding RNA, 301 nt
Organism: Numida meleagris (helmeted guineafowl)
Lineage: Eukaryota; Metazoa; Chordata; Aves; Galliformes; Numididae
Exons: 2
Source: RefSeq, a predicted model, not a curated record